Diabrotica virgifera virgifera (western corn rootworm) is the source of this 776-nucleotide long non-coding RNA. RefSeq lists it as uncharacterized. NCBI's taxonomy places the organism in Eukaryota, Metazoa, Arthropoda, Insecta, Coleoptera, Chrysomelidae. The record is from RefSeq and is a predicted model, not a curated record. The transcript has 4 exons.
UUCAGCUUUAACUUACACUCUUGACCUGUGCUUGGUGGUGUGAACAGCGCUUGGCUCCGCGUUCUACGAAUACGAGGUCUUUCCUAAGUACUAACGUACCUAACCUACCCCAAAUUGUUUUUGUCUGGUUUCUCCUCUGUGGCGUUCCUAUUACCAUUUGUUUACAAUCUGUGUUUGUGUUUCCUAUUUGUAUAUAACACCUUAACCUCAAAUUUUUAAAAGUCAGGAAAAAAUGCUACCAUCUCACGCAAAUGUCAGCGGCCCUGAUAUGGUUUAGAACCAGAUUACAUCACGGUCGCCAACAAAUAGUGCUGGCGAAUCGCCUCGUAGCGAAGCCAUAAAAAAAGAGAAGAAGAAGAAGCUUUAACUUAACCUAACAUAUAAUCAAGACCAAGAUGAUUUUCUCGAUUUUAUUUCCAUUUUGGAAGAAGGAAAUAAAGAAAACAUUGAUUAUGGUGAAAAAGUUUACUGGAGAACUUGAACAAGAGUUACAGAUAUGACAAACAUCUAGAAGAUUCAAUCCUGCGUUCUUAAAGAAAAAAGCUAGUUCCAGUAGUAAGCUACCAAUAAUAAACUAGAGAAUGUAUUACAAGAAAGAACAACGCUAAUACUAAACAUACCUCAAUUGCUUCAGAUAGAAAAAGAGGACGAAAAGGUACAACACAAGCGUGCUAGAGAAAAUGAAAGGGCAGAAGAGAGACACAAAAAUUCAUUGAUUUAUUAAAUUUAAAAAUUUAAUUAUACAAAGGACAAUUAAAUAAAGAAUAAAAAAAUGA